UACAGAGGUCUCGAGCGUUGUUCGGAUUCAUUGGGCGUAAAGGGCGCGUAGGCUGCGGGGCAAGUCGGGUGUGAAAUCUCAGAGCUCAACUCUGAAACUGCACUCGAUACUGCUUUGCUUGAGGACUGGAGAGGAGAUUGGAAUUCACGGUGUAGCAGUGAAAUGCGUAGAUAUCGUGAGGAAGACCAGUGGCGAAGGCGGAUCUCUGGACAGUUCCUGACGCUGAGGCGCGAAAGCGUGGGGAGCAAACAGG
Molecule: ribosomal RNA, 253 nt
Filed under: uncultured bacterium
Lineage: Bacteria
Description: partial 16S ribosomal RNA
Rfam family: Bacterial small subunit ribosomal RNA
Source: RNAcentral